CAUACAACGUUGAAACACCAGUUCCUGUACGAUCACCGAAGUUAAGCAACGUCGAGCCUGAUCAGUAUGUGGAUGAGUAACUGCUUAAGAAUGCCAAGUGCUGUACG
Non-coding RNA from Acanthosepion pharaonis, 107 nucleotides. The record is from the annotation of a GenBank genome assembly. Lineage: Eukaryota; Metazoa; Mollusca; Cephalopoda; Sepiida; Sepiidae.